UUGAAUUUCGGGGGUUAUAGGUUGGUCAUGCCUCUGGUAUGUACUGGUCUCACUGAUUCCUCCUUUCCUGAUGAACCUUAAUGCCAUUAAUUUGGUGUUUUUGGGGAAUUUGGACUGUUACUUUGAAAAAUUUAGAGUGUUUAAAGCAAGCUAACGCUUGAAUACAUUAGCAUGGAAUAAUGAAUAGGACGUUCGAUCCAUUUUGUGGUUUCUAGGAUUGACGUAAUGAUUAAUAGGGAUAGUUGGGGGCAUUAGUAUUCAAUUGUCAGAGGUGAAAUUCUUGGAUUUAUUGAAGACUAACUACUGCGAAAGCAUUUGCCAAGGAUGUUUUCAUUAAUCAAGAACGAAAGUUAGGGGAUCGAAGACGAUCAGAUACCGUCGUAGUCUUAACCAUAAACUAUGCCGACUAGGGAUCGGAUGAUGUUAAUUUUUUAAUGACUC
RNAcentral lists this ribosomal RNA (441 nucleotides) under fungal sp. RNAcentral describes it as "SSU rRNA". It matches the Rfam family "Eukaryotic small subunit ribosomal RNA", at positions 634 to 1077 of the family's 1831-position model. Lineage: Eukaryota; Fungi. The record is from RNAcentral.